RNAcentral lists this ribosomal RNA (410 nucleotides) under Oreoneta tienshangensis. RNAcentral's name for it is "partial 16S ribosomal RNA". The record is from RNAcentral. Lineage: Eukaryota; Metazoa; Arthropoda; Arachnida; Araneae; Linyphiidae.
CUCUUUAUAAGUAAAAUCUGCUCCAUGUUUUAUAAAUAGCCGCAGAAUUUUAACUGUGCUAAGGUAGCAUAAUCAUUUACCUUUUAAUUAAAGGUUUGCAUAAACGAUUUUACAUUUAAAUUACUUUUUUAUUAAUUUUUAUAAAAUUUAAAUUAAACAUAAAAAUGUUUUUAUUUUAAAAAAAGACGAUAAGACCCUAUUGAACUUAACUUUAGUUUAGCUGGGGAAGCUAAUUAAAUAUAAUUUUAAUACUAACUUUUUUUGAGAGCCCUAAUAUAAUUAUAUUUAGCAAGUUACCGUAGGGAUAACAGCGUAAUAAAAUUUUAAAGCUCAUAUUAAAAAUUAAGUUUACGACCUCGAUGUUGAAUUAGGAUUUCUUAUAAACGCAAUGGUUUAUAAAGAAGGUCUGU